CACAUUUAAGUCAUAAGUUUAGGUAAAUUCUUUAGCUGUGAAAACGAUAAUCUUGAGUUCAUAAGGUCGAUUAUUUUGUUGUUGAGCAAGAUGGUUAUUUUUACUUUCUCACUAUGAAUAGUUGCAUCAGUAAACGCUUGAGGGUUUUAUUCUGAUAUCUCCAGGUCUUGAGUGAUCAUUGCUGAGAAUUUACCCGGAGUAGCUUACAAGGAAUCUGUAUGAAAAGGAAGUGGUUGCUCUCCUUUUGCAACUUGGAAAAGAACCCGAACCUGAAGUAAUCACUCUAUAAUGGAAGUUUCUGUAGCUCAAAAUGUUUUCGAAGGAUUUUCGAGGAUAGUGGUGAGAUAUUAUUAUCAACAAAAGAAUGAUCCCUUUACAAAAUUGGAUUCGGACAAACUUUACGCAAAAGAAGGAAAUGGCAUAUUAUCACCAGGAAUCCAUAAGAGCUAGUCCCAUUUGAGGGAAAAAAGUAUCCACAGACACAAGCCUGGUCCAAAAUCAGCCAUAGUAGCAGCCUAUAACAGUAGAGUUCUUUUUAUUUUCUUGUUUCUCGGAAUCUUUGAAUAAAGAACUUAGGAAAUGGAGAAUCUCCAUGCUCAGGGGUUUUUAUUGGUUGAUGAGAGAAUAUAUAAGGAAAAAGAUCUUAAUCAUUUUCUUUUAAGAAUUGAUCUUAAUCUUCUUCUCAUCUGACAUUGUUACCAUAGAACUGUUGUUUUUGUUCUUUUUUUUAAGAGUGAUUUUAUCAGUAAACUGCCACUGCUUUUGUUGAUUUUUGUCUAACAUUUG
Molecule: unclassified non-coding RNA, 786 nt
Filed under: Arabidopsis thaliana (thale cress)
Lineage: Eukaryota; Viridiplantae; Streptophyta; Magnoliopsida; Brassicales; Brassicaceae
Source: RNAcentral